UCUCCGUUGGUGAACCAGCGGAGGGAUCAUUACAGAGUUGCAAAACUCCCAAACCAUUGUGAACGUUACCUAUCCCGUUGCUUCGGCGGGCGGCCCGGGCCCCGCGCCCGGCGCCCCCCGGCCCCCCGUGGGCGCCCGCCGGAGGUAAACCAAACCCUUGAAUUGCAUGGCCUCUCUGAGUCUUAUGUACUGAAUAAGUCGAAACUUUCAACAACGGAUCUCUUGGUUCUG
Molecule: unclassified non-coding RNA, 231 nt
Filed under: plant metagenome
Description: partial contains small subunit ribosomal RNA, internal transcribed spacer 1, and 5.8S ribosomal RNA
Source: RNAcentral